Molecule: long non-coding RNA, 216 nt
Filed under: Elaeis guineensis (African oil palm)
Lineage: Eukaryota; Viridiplantae; Streptophyta; Magnoliopsida; Arecales; Arecaceae
Description: long non-coding RNA (EGUI_LNC066917)
Source: RNAcentral
AUAGACCGCACGUCCGAUCGAUCAGAUCAGGGUGCAACAAAGUUCAAAAAUUUUUUCUAUCCAAUGGGUGAUCAUAUCAAGAUUUGAUCUUGAUCGUAGCCAAAUAGAUCAUGCAUUAAGAAUAAGAGAAAAAUAAUGAUUUAAAUAAUUUAAAUCAGAAUAUAAGAUGAUCACAUCACAUUACUAACGGAUGUUACACAUCCGGAAUAUGCAUGC